AGCAUAUAUUUUGACUUAUGUUACGGCCAUAAGAGAGGUAUAAAUAUACCGUAUGUUU
RNAcentral lists this transfer RNA (58 nucleotides) under Taenia ovis (sheep tapeworm). Its description in RNAcentral is "tRNA-Arg". Lineage: Eukaryota; Metazoa; Platyhelminthes; Cestoda; Cyclophyllidea; Taeniidae. The record is from RNAcentral.